AUGGCUGCACCUAUAGCACAUUUCGACGAUGACUGGCCGAACCUGGGUGAUCUGAGCAUGGUUUCAGAGGAAGGGUUGCUGCCGCAGAAAGGCCGCGCCGUCGUCUCCGCCGCCGCCGGGCACGAAGCAGCGCCGCAGUCGCUCCUGUUUGGCGGUGAUGAUGAUGAUGAUCUGCACGACAGCAGCUUCUCCCCGGGGGAAAACGUGGGAUUCCGGUCCAUGGAGGAUCUGGUGAAUGAUUUUGAUGAGAAGUUAUCCACGUGCUUCCAAAAUUUUGACGCCAAGACGGAGAGCAUCGCUCCCGUGGCUGUGAUCGCCGAGGACACGCUGCUGGAGAAAGACGAAAUCUGGAACACUUUAACCGCUAACUAUGGACAUGUGAUGCCGGUGGACUGGAAACAGUCUUGCACACGCUCCCUUCACAUUCCCACAAUCAACCUGGAGGAGAAACCCAGAAAGGCAGAUGUCGCGGCGGAGCUGUCGGACGACGAGGAGCUCAGGGAUCAGCUGGACAUGCACUCCAUCAUUGUUUCCUGCCUCGCAGAGGAGCCCCUUUUCACAGCAGAGCAGGUUAUUGAGGAGAUAGAGGAAAUGAUGCAGGACUCUCCUGAAAUGGAGGCAGAGCACAAUCCGUCACAGUCGGACCUGUCGAUGCUCUCUCUGGACGUCCAGCAGCACAACAGCUGCCCCGACUACGAGGAGAGGAUGAGGGCCCUGAGUGUUGCGGAGCUGAACGAGCGUCUCGAGGAGACCGAAAUGAACAUCAGGAGGUUUUCAGAGGAGCUGGUUCAGCAGCUGGCUCUCAGGGAUGAGCUGGACUUUGAGAAAGAGGUGAAGAACAGUUUCAUCUCAGCCCUCAUCGACGUGCAGAACCGGCAGAAGGAGUACCGCGAGGCGCUUAAGAAGAAGAAGAAGCUUAAAGGCGGAGCUGGAACAUCGCAGGGCCUCACAGAGAAAACACUUGCAUCACGCUUCAGCAUGGAGGGGAUCUCCUCUGUUAUCCAAAACAGCUUCCGGCAAACUUUUGGGAGCGGGUGCAGUGAGAGACAGUAUCUGACCACAGUCAUCCCUUACGAGAAGAAAGGACAUCCUCCCCCGAUUGAAGACCUCCAGAUCUUGACCAAGAUUCUGCAAGCUAUGAGAGACGAUAGCGACAAGGUGCCCAGCCUCCUAACAGACUACAUUCUGAAAGGUGAGCUUUUUGGUGCUUUAUAUUUUAAGGGAAAUAACAUUGUAGUGAGAUUCAGAACAAUCCUGCGCUAGCAGCACGUCUGCAUCUGUCAUCCUCGUUCCACAUAAACCAAGCGAUCAAUAACAGUCAAUUGUUACUGUGCUGAUGAUGUAACCACUGUGCCAUAAAUCACUGAUGCAUGAAUGCAGUUGAUUUCAAUUUAUUACAAUAUCCUUGGAAAGCUAAUAUGGCUUUUUAAUUAUAAGCUAUAUUGAGUUUAAACUAAAAGCAAUUAUAGACUGUGAGGGUUUUUCCUGCUUCCAAAUGGGCCUUCGGGGGGGUGACUGUCGUCUGGUUUACUGUGUUAGUGUAUCUUCUUGUUAUGUGUCACCUUUUGAUAAUCCUGUUGUGGAGUUAUUUUGAGUAGUGCGUAACUUCCAGGUAAUUUAGUGGAAAAACAAAAAAUUUCCACAUCUUAUACUGUAAAUACGCUGAGCUUUUGGGGGUCAUGUUAUGUUGUGGCUUUUGUGUAGAAAGCACAAAACAAAACCAAAAACAAAUAGAUAAUAAGAACAAUUUAUUCCUUUAAUUCUGUGGGGUUCAAGUUUGGAUUUGCAAUAAAUUUAAAAAAAGUUAUUAUAAUUGUGUCCUUUCAUGUAAAUUAUCUACAAAUUACUCACUACUUAAAAUUACUUAUGGUAUAAUUAUUUAUUUUUCCCCAUAAAAAUAAAAAUUCUUACCCCUUUAUUCUGCUGUAUCUGCCGUAAGAAUUUGUAGGUAAAUAUAAUUCCAUCGUAAUUUUAAAUAAAUUGCAUUGAAACUCCAUUUAUUUCUAGGGGAAUUACACCUUUGGUCGCGUGCAAUAUUAUAAAGUGCUGCUUGAAUUUUAAAUGCUGUGCAUGUGAUGUUAACCAACCAGUACAGAGCUUAAAUAUCUCUCAAUAUUUGCACUCUGUCUUUUUGAGUGCGUCUCCCACAUUUCACUUUCUGUUUCAUUCCUCUGUUUUAUUUUUUCUUCCUGUAUUUCUUUUGUGCUACUCUUCCUAAUAUAUCGCUGCCCCACACUCAGCUCUGGUGUGAGCCCUGGAUGGAGAGUGGUUUGCCCGACAUAGACGAGAGGGACACCCUGCAAAGGUUCUGCAUAGUUAAGCGUGAUGAAAAGAAACAAGAAGAAGAGGACUCAUUGUAUUUUUGCAGACAUGAAGCACACUUAAUUUAUUCCUGGAUGUUUUUACCUUUGUGUGUCACAUUUUUUUUACCCCCCGAUUUUCAUUAAGCUGUAUUUAUUUUGUUCAAGCGUUAUGAUUUCAAACCUUGUGUAUUGUUGUGAAUUUUGACUUUCAGUGCGUGUUUUCAGUUGUCUUGCGGUGUGAAAGUGUAUCCUAAAUUGAUGAAUCGUAUAAGAAAUGUAGACAAAUAUGUGCACUGAGCUUUGCUUAUCGAUUAGAGCAAAGAUGCACUGCAGUUGGCUUUGUGUGUGUCUGAGGUGCUGAGCUGUACACUGAGCAGAGAAAACAAUUCACAAAGCACAGAUACAGAUGUUGCAGUAAUAGAGAAUAAACUGAUGAGCUUACACAGAAGAGGAACUUUAAAAAGAGCCGAGCGAUACACAAGAUUUUUCUGUUCAUUACAAUAGCAGCUGAAACAGAUGAGAGAGCUGCGAGUGAACAGGAUACAAAAUGUACAAAAUGAUGAAGAGUACACUGAUGAUCUGAAAGCUGUGUGUAUAAAUACCACACAAAACAAUGAUAUAAUUCAGUUUUCCAUGCAGCUGCAGACACAAGUGUACCAUCUGCUUUCAUCUUGGUACACUGCAAGCAUCUCUGUUAUUAUUUCAUGAAAGAUAAUGUACUGUAUUGAUGGCUAAGGUGUUGUAGUCUGGACUGGUAUUUACUUAUUAACUAACUAACUAUGCAUUUGAGUGAAAACUGAAUUGUGACCCAUGCACUGUCUGUACUUUUGCCUCUGUGCACGGGGCGGCGUACACCACCAAUGGGCAUUCUUAUUCUGUAUGUAUUACUUUAUACAAGCUGCCUUUGCCUUUGGCUGAACUUUUGUACAUUAUAAAUAACUUAUUUUCAUUGAAUGUCAUAUUACUAAACCACUUACAGAA
Molecule: RNA transcript, 3284 nt
Organism: Archocentrus centrarchus (flier cichlid)
Lineage: Eukaryota; Metazoa; Chordata; Actinopteri; Cichliformes; Cichlidae
Gene: fez2a
Gene name: fasciculation and elongation protein zeta 2a
Exons: 9
Source: RefSeq, a predicted model, not a curated record